RNAcentral lists this ribosomal RNA (1355 nucleotides) under metagenome. RNAcentral describes it as "bacterial LSU rRNA". It matches the Rfam family "Bacterial large subunit ribosomal RNA", at positions 1580 to 2925 of the family's 2925-position model. The record is from RNAcentral.
ACAAUCCGAAUUCAAGCGUACUACACUGUCGAGAAAAGCUUCUAACGAGACAUCAUGUACCCGUACCAAAACCGACACAGGUAGGCGGGGAGAGAAUCCUAAGGUGCGCGGGAAAACCCUCGUUAAGGAACUCGGCAAAAUACAUCCGUAACUUCGGGAGAAGGAUGGCCGGAGCUGGUGAAGAGAUUGACUCUUGGAGCUGGAGCCGGCGGCAGAAGAGAAGCCCAAGCGACUGUUUACCACAAACACAGGUGCCUGCUAAAGAGAAAUCUGACGUAUAGGUGCUGACACCUGCCCGGUGCUGGAAGGUUAAGGAGAGAUGUCAGGAGCAAUCCGAAGCAUUGAACUGAAGCCCCAGUAAACGGCGGCCGUAACUAUAACGGUCCUAAGGUAGCGAAAUUCCUUGUCGGGUAAGUUCCGACCCGCACGAAAGGUGUAACGACUUGGGCACUGUCUCAACGAGGGACCCGGUGAAAUUGAAAUACCUGUGAAGAUGCAGGUUACCCGCGACUGGACAGAAAGACCCCAUGGAGCUUUACUGCAGCCUGACAUUGAUUUUUGGCAUGUAACGUACAGGAUAGUUGGGAGACGGAGAAGAUAGCCCCCCAGGGUUAUCAGAGUCGCUGUUGGAAUACCAACCUUUAUGUGCUAGGGAUCUAACUCGAGAAGUAACGAAGCUGAGGACAGUAUCAGGUGGGCAGUUUGACUGGGGCGGUCGCCUCCGAAAGAGUAACGGAGGCGUCCAAAGGUUCCCUCAGCGCGGACAGAAAUCGCGCGAAGAGUAUAAAGGCAGAAGGGAGCUUGACUGCGAGACAUACAGGUCGGGCAGGUACGAAAGUAGGGCUUAGUGAUCCGGUGGAAUGAGAGUGGAAUUGCCAUCGCUCAACGGAUAAAAGCUACCCUGGGGAUAACAGGCUAAUCUCUCCCAAGAGUCCAUAUCGACGGGGAGGUUUGGCACCUCGAUGUCGGCUCAUCACAUCCUGGGGCUGAAGCAGGUCCCAAGGGUUGGGCUGUUCGCCCAUUAAAGUGGUACGUGAGCUGGGUUCAGAAGGUCGUGAGACAGUUCGGUCCAUAUCCAUCGCGGGCGUAAGAUACAUGAGGGAGACUGCUCCUAGUACGAGAGGACCGGAGUGGACGGACCGCCGGUGUACCAGUUGUUUCGCCAGAAGCACAGCUGGGUAGCUGCGUCCGGAAGGGAUAAACGCUGAAAGCAUCUAAGCGUGAAGCCCGUCCCGAGAUGAAGUAUCUCAUGUCGUAAGACAGUAAGACACCUUGAAGAUACAAGGUUGAUAGGGUAGAUGUGGAAGUCCUGCAAGGGAUGAAGCUGACUACUACUAAUACGUCGAGGGCUUAAU